RNAcentral lists this long non-coding RNA (452 nucleotides) under Physcomitrium patens. RNAcentral's name for it is "long non-coding RNA (PPAT_LNC001668)". The record is from RNAcentral. Lineage: Eukaryota; Viridiplantae; Streptophyta; Bryopsida; Funariales; Funariaceae.
UCACUUUCUUUAGCAAAAAAACAAAUAUUCUAAAAUAUUGAUUAUAAUACCACCAUUGCUUAUUAUCACACCAAAAAUAUGUAUAAGAAUCCUUCCAAACUUGUUGUCUAACUACUAUUGGAAAUCAAUUAUUGUCUUGCACCAACAUGGCAAAUUACGGCUGAUUUUCCAUAAUCAUCAACUCCCAAGCCAUGUCCUGCUCUUAUUGCUACCAAAUUGUCUCUACAUCUCCGCAAUACCACUGCUCUGAUUUCCUGUGAUAGAAAUGCCUUCACCUCACCGCCUUCUCUCAAAUGGCUAUAUAAUUUAGAUCUGUCAAUAUCAAUCUAGCGCAACACCACCAUUGCUUUUCUUUUAAUCAACUUAAGUUCUUCUAAAAUUGGCACCCCAUCCUCCUUCUAAUCAACAACCUUCCCUACUAAUCUAGAUCUACUCCUAUGUCCACAAUCAAA